UAUUUCAAGGCUCAUGUUAGGAGCCAGCUCCUCAGGAAGCCCCUCUGAUUGCUCCAGAGUAGUGACUGCAACACCCAAAGAGCAUUUAUCUCAUUCUGCCUUAAAUCGUAUUCAUUUUGUGAAUGUCUAACUAUGUCUAACAACUAUACUACAGGUUCCUCGAAGGUCUCAUCAAUUUUUAAUCACUUCCCCACUUUUUUCAUACAGAAGUGGUCAAUAAAUAUCUGUUGAUAGAAUAUCAAAGAGAUGAGCGUUAUAUUUUCCUGUAUAUUUAUUACCUAAUUAAAUAUAGUACAUACAAGGCUCUAUCUAACAGUAGGUACUGGAUGAGCACUAGUGACUGUGUGGUUUGAUUGUACCAUUCUAAACAUAUCAACUCUGGUCUUUAUCCUUUUUACCUUGUAGGUGGUCGCUGACCUGGCAGGUUAUCAUCCACUUCCCAGGAUUCUCGGCUAUCAUUUCUGUUGUGCCAGGACACAGAUUCUCCAACACACAUAUCAGGCUCCGGGAAGUUUCCGAAGAGGUAUCCAUUGAGGGCUGGAAACAGAAACACGCUAGUGGAAGAGACUCCCCUGCAGAGGCGACUGGGACCAGAAAUGUUGAGAAAACACUCAAUAAAAGUGAAGAUCAGCAUACACUGAGAACAGCCUCGGAGCUGCUGUGGGAACGCAAUAUGAGGUCAGGAGAAAACAGAGUGCUGCUCAUAUUUACAGGAGGCUCAGUCACCUUCUGUCAUAAUCCUUCACUGGCAUAUCUGCUGUCUUCACCAGAUUCUGUGCUCCUUGGAACUAGAAACCCUGUCUUGUUCAUCUUAACAGUUAUCAGGACCUAGCAGAAAAACUGGCACAUAGUAUCUACUUAAUGAAGUGACAAAAGCAUGUAGUAAGAUGGAAAGAAAAGGAAUUGAUUAAAAGGAAUUUAUGAGAACUGUUUUGUUUGUUUGUUUGUUUACUUUAAAAAGCCAAGAGAAAAACAGUUUUUACUACAUGUUGCUGGAGCAGAAUCUUAUUAAGUUUAUGGCGUAAAUCCAGGACCGAAUACUUUAAAACCAUCUA
This 1055-nucleotide long non-coding RNA is filed under the name Homo sapiens (human). RNAcentral describes it as "HSALNT0179818". The record is from RNAcentral. Lineage: Eukaryota; Metazoa; Chordata; Mammalia; Primates; Hominidae.